UCAGGAAUAGUCGGCAAUGGGCGAAAGCCUGACCGCGCGACACCGCGUGUAGGAUGAAGGUCUAAUCGAUCGUAAACUACUGUGGUAAGGGAAGAAGACUUCCGUAAGGAAGUUUGACGGUACCUUACUAGAAAGGGGCCGCUAACUGCGUGCCAGAAGCGUCGGUAAUACGUGGGCCCCAAACAUUAUCCGGUUUUACUGGGUGUAAAAAGUCGUGUAGGUGUCCUAUCAAGUUUUGUUUCAAAUUCUACGGCCCAACCGUAGACAGGGGCAAAAUACUAGUAGGAUUGAGAUUUCUUUAGGGAGAUUGGAACUCAGGGAGGAGUAGUGAAAUGCGUUGAUACCCUGGGGAACACCAGUGGCGAAAGCGAAUCUCUGGAAGAUUUCUGACACUGAGACACG
Molecule: ribosomal RNA, 402 nt
Filed under: uncultured bacterium
Lineage: Bacteria
Description: bacterial SSU rRNA
Rfam family: Bacterial small subunit ribosomal RNA
Source: RNAcentral